ACACGACUACAUUAGAUACCCGUGUAGUCCUAGCCGUAAACGAUACUCGCUAGGUGUCGGCCACGGUGCGACCGUUGUCGGUGCCGUAGGGAAGCCGUGAAGCGAGCCACCGUGGGAAGUACGGCCGCAAGGCUGAAACUUAAAGGAAUUGGCGGGGAGCACAACAACGGGUGGAGCUUGCGGUUUAAUUGGAUUCAACGCCGGAAAUCUUACCGGGACCGACAGCAACAUGAAGGCCAAGCUGAAGACUUUGCCGGAUUAGCUG
RNAcentral lists this ribosomal RNA (265 nucleotides) under uncultured archaeon. RNAcentral describes it as "partial 16S ribosomal RNA". It matches the Rfam family "Archaeal small subunit ribosomal RNA", at positions 719 to 982 of the family's 1478-position model. The record is from RNAcentral.